AAAAUCCGUCGACUUUAUAAGUUGUGAGGGUUCAAAUCCCUCUAUCCCCA
This 50-nucleotide transfer RNA is filed under the name Hordeum brevisubulatum. Its description in RNAcentral is "transfer RNA-Leu". The record is from RNAcentral. Lineage: Eukaryota; Viridiplantae; Streptophyta; Magnoliopsida; Poales; Poaceae.